UACACCUGCAUCAAACAAACAGACCACUGGUAUAAAAAAAAGUUGAAGCUUUCUAAAUGAUGUAACAAAUUAUUGUUGUUUUAUUCACACAUGUUCCAG
This 99-nucleotide unclassified non-coding RNA is filed under the name fungal sp. RNAcentral describes it as "partial internal transcribed spacer region". The record is from RNAcentral. Lineage: Eukaryota; Fungi.